Long non-coding RNA from Sinocyclocheilus grahami, 199 nucleotides. RefSeq lists it as uncharacterized. The transcript is spliced from 3 exons. The record is from RefSeq and is a predicted model, not a curated record. NCBI's taxonomy places the organism in Eukaryota, Metazoa, Chordata, Actinopteri, Cypriniformes, Cyprinidae.
CGCUUCUAUGUAUCCUCCAGUUUAUUUUAAGAGUGAUGACACAAGGUCAAUCCUGCCACCCAGAUCAGAAACAAAACCCGACUGUGAGAAAUAUGACCAGUCUAUGAAUCAACCACAAGACAGCACGUAUCCUGGUGUGAGGCAUGAAGUCCUCAACAUGUUUAGAUCAAACCUGAUGAAGAAGUUUGAGCGUCUGUAU